This 693-nucleotide ribosomal RNA is filed under the name uncultured Alphaproteobacteria bacterium. Its description in RNAcentral is "bacterial SSU rRNA". It matches the Rfam family "Bacterial small subunit ribosomal RNA", at positions 29 to 784 of the family's 1533-position model. The record is from RNAcentral. Lineage: Bacteria; Pseudomonadati; Pseudomonadota; Alphaproteobacteria.
ACAACGCUGGCGGCAGGCUAACACCUGCAGUCAAGCGCGCCUUCGGGCGAGCGGCGGACGGGUUAGUAACGCGUGGGAACGUGCCCAGAUCUACGGAAUAGCCACUGGAAACGGUGAGUAAUACCGUAUACGCCCUUCGGGGGAAAGAUUUAUCGGAUUUGGAUCGGCCCGCGUUAGAUUAGGUAGUUGGUAGUGGUAACGGCCUACCAAGCCUACGAUCUAUAGCUGGUUUUAGAGGAUGAUCAGCAACACUGGGACUGAGACACGGCCCAGACUCCAACGGGAGGCAGCAGUGGGGAAUCUUGGACAAUGGGGGCAACCCUGAUCCAGCCAUGCCGCGUGAGUGAAGAAGGCCCUAGAGGUCGUAAAACUCUUUCGCCUGUGAUGAUAAUGACAGUAGCAGGUAAAGAAACCCCGGCUAACUCCGUGCCAGCAGCCGCGGUAAUACGGAGGGGGUUAGCGUUGUUCGGAAUUACUGGGCGUAAAGCGCACGUAGGCGGAUUAGAAAGUUAGAGGUGAAUCCGGGGCUCAACCCCGGGAAACUUGCCUUUAAACACUAACUAGGUCUAAGAAGUUCGAAGAGCAGGUUGACGUGGGAACUUCCGAAGGUGUAACAAGGUGAAACUCCGUAAGCAUAUUCGGGAGGGAACACUCCACGUGGGCGAAAGGGCGGGAUCACACUGGACUCGGAUA